UGCUCACAGGAUUAUGGAGGCUGCGAAGUCCUGUGAUUUGCUGAUCUGCCACCUGCAAGCUGGAGACCUGGUGUAGUUCCAGCCUGAGUCCAAAGACUUGAGAACAGGAGAGGUGAUGAUCUCUUGGGUUGAUAGCUUAUGGCAGUGAUAGUCAAGUGUAUCACGCCGUGAAGUCAACUGUUUGAAAAAACACUGUGAAGUGGUUCGAUAUGGAUAUGAUGUCAUAAUCUUCUUUUUGAAGAUAAAGAAACUAAGACUAUAUCAUAAUGUUCUUCUUGAAGAUGAAGAAAUGAAGACUCUUUUUCUAGCAAUCAGUGUCUGACCAGAUGAUAUUCUCUGAACAGAUAGUAUUAACUAGAUCUCCAAUGCAGAAAAUUAACCUGAGAAGUAAUGGCAAGCCCUCCUGCUAUCACCCCCCUUGAGCCCACCUGUCCUACAGAGGUGUCCAUGCCAGCUGACUCCACCAAGACUGACCCUCUGCCAUCCUCUCCUGAGUGCUGAGUAAGAAGGUCAUUCUCUACUUAUUUAGUUUAUGAGGUUCUGUGACUUUUGUGUUGUUUGUAAUAAUGACAUAAUAAUACUUAGCACUUAUACAACUUUUCAUCUUCAAAGUGUUUUCUGAACAUUUACUAAUUAAUUUUACAUUAGUAAAACAUGAGCUGUGUAUAUGUCACUCCAUAAAUAAUAAAUAAUCAUAUGACCCAAGUGGAGGUAGAAUUUAAAACUCAGUGUGAAUGAGGAAACCACAGGGCUACCUGGUUUGAGAAGGACAGUGAGCCUUAACUCAGUUUCACAUUUUUGUGAAUUUGGAGACAAACGGCUGCUCUUCUCACUCCCUAGAAUCCACUUCCAAAAAUUAUGGCAAUUUUUUUUUGCUCCUAUUUGAUGAAAAGCCAAUGACUCUCCAAGCUCUAACCCUUCCUUAGCAGCUAAAUGUUCUUCAACUUAUA
RNAcentral lists this long non-coding RNA (950 nucleotides) under Homo sapiens (human). Its description in RNAcentral is "HSALNT0320047". Lineage: Eukaryota; Metazoa; Chordata; Mammalia; Primates; Hominidae. The record is from RNAcentral.